Molecule: ribosomal RNA, 460 nt
Filed under: uncultured bacterium
Lineage: Bacteria
Description: partial 16S ribosomal RNA
Rfam family: Bacterial small subunit ribosomal RNA
Source: RNAcentral
CCUACGGGUGGCAGCAGUGAGGAAUAUUGGUCAAUGGCCGCAGGGCUGAACCAGCCAAGUCGCGUGAGGGAUGAAGGUCCUAUGGAUUGUAAACCUCUUUUGUCAGGGAGCAAAGGGCGCCACGUGUGGCGUUUUGCGAGUACCUGAAGAAAAAGCAUCGGCUAACUCCGUGCCAGCAGCCGCGGUAAUACGGAGGAUUCAAGCGUUAUCCGGAUUUAUUGGGUUUAAAGGGUGCGUAGGCGGUUCGAUAAGUUAGAGGUGAAAUCCCGGGGCUCAACUCCGGCACUGCCUGUGAUACUGGCGGGCUAGAGUUUAGUUGCGGUAGGCGGAAUGUAUGGUGUAGCGGUGAAAUGCAUAGAGAUCAUACAGAACACCGAUUGCGAAGGCAGCUUACCAAACUACGACUGACGUUGAGGCACGAAAGCGUGGGGAGCAAACAGGAUUAGAUACCCCUGUAGUC